GACGAACGCUGGCGGCGUGCUUAACACAUGCAAGUCGAACGGAAAGGCCCUGCUUUUGUGGGGUGCUCGAGUGGCGAACGGGUGAGUAACACGUGAGUAACCUGCCCUUGACUUUGGGAUAACUUCAGGAAACUGGGGCUAAUACCGGAUAGGAGCUCCUGCUGCAUGGUGGGGGUUGGAAAGUUUCGGCGGUUGGGGAUGGACUCGCGGCUUAUCAGCUUGUUGGUGGGGUAGUGGCUUACCAAGGCUGUGACGGGUAGCCGGCCUGAGAGGGUGACCGGCCACAUUGGGACUGAGAUACGGCCCAGACUCCUACGGGAGGCAGCAGUGGGGAAUAUGGCACAAUGGGAGGAAGCCUGAUGCAGCAACGCCGCGUGCGGGAUGACGGCCUUCGGGUUGUAAACCGCUUUCGCCUGUGACGAAGCGUGAGUGACGGUAAUGGGUAAAGAAGCACCGGCUAACUACGUG
This 468-nucleotide ribosomal RNA is filed under the name uncultured bacterium. Its description in RNAcentral is "partial 16S ribosomal RNA". It matches the Rfam family "Bacterial small subunit ribosomal RNA", at positions 28 to 507 of the family's 1533-position model. The record is from RNAcentral.